Molecule: transfer RNA, 75 nt
Filed under: bacterium
Lineage: Bacteria
Also listed under: 3 other names
Description: tRNA-Asn
Rfam family: tRNA
About the family: Transfer RNA (tRNA) molecules are approximately 80 nucleotides in length. Their secondary structure includes four short double-helical elements and three loops (D, anti-codon, and T loops).
Source: RNAcentral
UCCGGAUUAGCUCAGUGGUAGAGUAGAUGACUGUUAAUCAUUUGGUCGUUGGUUCGAAUCCAACAUCCGGAGCCA